RNAcentral lists this long non-coding RNA (790 nucleotides) under Prunus persica (peach). Its description in RNAcentral is "long non-coding RNA (PPER_LNC000934)". The record is from RNAcentral. Lineage: Eukaryota; Viridiplantae; Streptophyta; Magnoliopsida; Rosales; Rosaceae.
GAAACAUCAAAUCGGCUGAUAAUAAAACAUAUUCUCUUUUUAUAUAUAAAAAUAUCAAUUUGCUAAAGUGGUGGCAAUAAAGUUCAUUAAUUUCUUGAUAAAGUAAUGAGUGAUGUGUGUAUCAUGUGUCACACAGAAUAAUCGUAGUGGAGUCAAAAAACGUACACUUAAUUCGGGUGAGCUGAGUGAUAAUCACCCCUAGAGUUUUAUUUUUUUUAUUUCGCUACAAGAAAAAUCAACAUGUGGGCACAAAUAUUUGUGGUACUGGAUUGGGGUGGCUGUAAGGGCCAUCUGUAACCAAUGAGUAAUAGACAUGCUAUUCGAGAAUACGAUGGGGUGGUGGGCUACUAGAAGAGAAAUAAAGAGAGAGGAGAGAGGCAUGGGAGUAAAUAGAGAUGAAUUUUGAUUUGUUUUCAGGAAAUAAUAAGAAUGGUAAUUUGACGUUUUCAAAUUUUGUAUUUAGAUUUAAAAAUGUUUUCAGAAAACAAAACUAGGUUUUUUUUAAAACAAGAAGCCAAUGAGAACCGAAAACGAAAAAGGCCCUUGGAAACGUAAACGAACGGACACUUUGUUUUUUUAAUUAUUUUUUAUUUAUAUUUUUAACUGGUGUUAGUUUGCCGUUUUCUAAAGUUUCACUCCCCUCAUUGCUCUCUUCCUCUUCUUGAUUCUCUUUAGUCUCUAUCAAUUAUUGUUUCCAAUAAUUCUACUACUCAACACUCCAACUCGAAUUCUCUGUUUGUCAUACAUUUUCAAUCGAUUCCCGGACUGAGUUCACAACUAGAGCUCUAAC